This 28-nucleotide non-coding RNA is filed under the name Bombyx mori (domestic silkworm). The record is from RNAcentral. Lineage: Eukaryota; Metazoa; Arthropoda; Insecta; Lepidoptera; Bombycidae.
UGCGCCGGAUGUUGAAAAUAGCUCAUGU